Cajanus cajan (pigeon pea) is the source of this 1517-nucleotide long non-coding RNA. RefSeq lists it as uncharacterized. The record is from RefSeq and is a predicted model, not a curated record. NCBI's taxonomy places the organism in Eukaryota, Viridiplantae, Streptophyta, Magnoliopsida, Fabales, Fabaceae.
UAGUUUUGUAUAGCCUCAAUGAUUGGCCACUUGUCCCUAUAAUAUCUUCUUCAUGUGUGAAACCAAUAACUUUAAUAAAGACGUUUAGAAUGAAUGUCUUGAGGUUCUUCAACAUUGGCUGAAAUGGCUAAAACGCUGACACUCUUCAAAGCUUGACCAAGUUUUGUUUUAAGACAGCGAUGUUGUGUUUAUGUUAGGCAAAGACCAUGACUUGGACCUAGCUCAUCUUUUUCGUUGAAUCAGUCAAAAUCCAAACGACAAGUACUCAAAAUCUGCCCUUAAUUAUGAAUCUGUCUUUGUUGGCCAUUGCCUAAACGACAUGUAUCAUUCCCAUUUAAGGAAUCUUAUGCUUUCGAUGUCAUCGUAGGAGGUUCACUAAAAAUUAUCUCAUCAAUCUUUCUUCUUAAAUUGCUUUAACAAGUCUUGUUGCAUGGCAUGCAUGGAAUCUUGGUCAAAAUUCAAGUUAUGUGCCUUUUGUUCCCUCCUUUCCGCUGUCUGUUAAAGCUUAAAGAUUUGAUAGUAGCCUACAAUUUAUAGGUCAUUAAUUUGAUUAAGUUUUCUACGUAAUUAGAACUAAUCUAAUCCAUUUCAUUUGUUCAGAAAACUAUAUAUAAUAGAGAACAAAUUAAUGCCUCAAAGUUAGGGGAAAUUUGGAGGAAAGAUAUUAAAUUAGCGCCAAUUAUUUAUUUAUUGUAAUAAGAUUCAAACCUUAAUCAUUUAAGAAGAAAUAUUCAAUACUCAAUUAUUAGGGGUAUCUUUGAAAGAUAAAUUACUUGUUACUAAUUGUGAUUUCAACAAAAGCAACAGAAGAAAAAAGUAGAGCGAUGAAACCUUGAGUGGGUUGGACUCUUGGUCGUAAAGCAUAGUUUGAAAUUGGUUUGAUGGGCACCGACAAUGAUUAAGAAUUCACUUUUGAGGCUAUAUGAUCAAUGCUUGAAGCAAGAACUAGGAAGAACCAAAUUGAUGGCAAGUUAGAAAGGAGGAAAACAGAUCCAGAAAGAAAAAGAAAAGAAAGAAUUUAAGAAGGGAAAAAAAAAAGAUGUAGAUAGAAGACGUAGAUGGUAGCAAGGAGGGUGGGCCUUUGAUGACCCAAGCCCACUAGUAAUAUUUUUCACAAUCGCCAACUCUCCGUUUCGGGAGCACCUACAAGGUGCAGGCACGUACAGCACGCCUCCUGAUAAAAAAAUCCAAUCAUGGCCCAAAAUGAUCGUAAAACUAGCAUUUUUUUACGUUGGAAGCACCUCAAAGGGUGGGAUAGCUGAUUCGAACCGCUGACCUUGUUUAAGCGUGGAUCAACCCCUACCGCUGAACCACACGCUUGGAGUUAUCGUAAAACUAGUAUGCGACAACAUUAUAGGUUCUAAUUUCGACGUGGGAAUGCAUGGUUGGAAUUAGUUUACAACGAAUUCUGAAGUUAGAGACAAUCGCAUGUUGAUGUGGGUGGUGUAGCGGAUAUUACAAGCGUGGCAUAUCGUGCGAUGUACAGUUCAUAUAUAUGAACAAUAUUCUUUAGUUUC